GCCUGGCUGGCUCAGUCAGUAGAGUGUAUGACUCUUGAUUUUGGGGUUAUGAGUUCAAGCCCCGUGUUAGGCC
RNAcentral lists this transfer RNA (73 nucleotides) under Ailuropoda melanoleuca (giant panda). It matches the Rfam family "tRNA". Rfam says of the family: Transfer RNA (tRNA) molecules are approximately 80 nucleotides in length. Their secondary structure includes four short double-helical elements and three loops (D, anti-codon, and T loops). Lineage: Eukaryota; Metazoa; Chordata; Mammalia; Carnivora; Ursidae. The record is from Rfam by way of RNAcentral.